Molecule: long non-coding RNA, 1724 nt
Organism: Tachysurus fulvidraco (yellow catfish)
Lineage: Eukaryota; Metazoa; Chordata; Actinopteri; Siluriformes; Bagridae
Exons: 2
Source: RefSeq, a predicted model, not a curated record
GCCUGAGAUAGGUACAGGCUCCCCGUGACCCGAGAAGUUCAGAUAAGUGGUAGAAAAUGAAUGCAUGAAUGAAUUAUUAACAUUAAGGAAGUAGGAAGAAAAACUCACUAAACAGCAUUGAAGUAAAAUUCAAUUCAAAUUUAUUUGUAUAGUGCUUAUUGACUCAAAGCAACUUGACAUUGUCUCAAAGCAACUUUACGGAGACAAUGUCUCUAAAAUAACAUAAAACAAAGGUUAAUAUGAAGAUUAAUAUAAUACAACAAUUAGAUAUAUUUAAAUGUGUUUGUAUUUAUCCCCAAUGAGCAAGUAUGAGGUGACUGUGGGGAGGAAAAACUCCCUUAGUCCAACUUGAGCUGGUUGAUAUCGAGAUGUCUCAGGAUUCAGUCGCUCUCAUUUCUGUGGAGGUCCAACAUCAUCGUACGGAAGACUAUCGGAGCUGGUACAAUCUCUGGAUGCCUCGGGAUGGGUAGAAAGAGAGAAGCAGUGGAGAGGAAUUAACGUAGCUGCUGUUCAUAAUAUUAGCAAGCACUAGAUGAUAAUGUGCAUUUGUUCAGAUGUAUUAGAGCACAAGGUUAUGAUAUGUAUUAUGUGUACGUCUGACUAAAGAGAUGAGUUUUUAAUCUACAUUUAAACUGGGAAAAUGUCUAUACCAAAGUACCAAAGCUAAAUAAGAAAACGCUCUACCACAUUUAGUAGACUUUGAUAUUCUGGGAACUACCAGAAGUUCUGAGUUUUGUGAUACAGUCUCAAAGAUAAUAGGAAGCCUGUCCCUGAAUACCUGUGUAAUUUUGGAAGCGAUCUAGAAGAAUGUUGUGAUCUAUAGUGUCGAAUGCAGCACUAAGGUCAAGUAGAACUAAUAGGGACAUACAGUCUUUGUCCGAAGCUAAGAACAAGUCGUUUAAAGAGAGUAUAAGGACAGACACAAUAUUUGAUAUGAUAUGAUAUGACAUGAUAUGUAGGUUUUCUACAAACUGAAAAAAGCUACAAAAACUGAAACUGUAGCUUUAAAAUGAAUGGAUGCUUUAAUUUAACAGUGCAGUUCUGUAAAAAUUUUAACAUUUUACACAUUUAACUUAAUCUUAACAUCUAUUUGGCUCAUUUUAAUCAGUGGUUUUAAAUGUGAUUUUUAAAAUGCUAUAAGGAGAUGAAUAUUUGUGAUUAUAUUAUACAGAGAAAUAUAAAUAAAGUCAGGAUCAUCUCAUCAUACUGGCCUAUAGCCUACUGUUUUAUUAAAUGGUUGUUUGGGAACAUUUCAUACCAUUAAUUUACUCUGUUAGAACAGGAAACCCGACUCAUUCUAUAUUUAUAACUUAAUGCUCUUGAAUGAAAACAGAAACACCGUUACUCAAAUCUGACAAAAUUAAAUGUUUACUUUUUCUCUGUGUACUUUCUUUGAAAGAGAGUGUAUAAGAAACAGAAAGUGCUUAGUGUAUUUUAUUCGUCUAAUCAUAGCAUGUGAAAUUCUGUGUGUACGAAGUAAUAGUUUUAUCUGUUACAGCUCAAAUAUGCCGUCUCCGUCUCCGAAUAACGGUUGGUCAAUGUCCAGCACAAUGAGCAAGAGGAUUUUUCCAAGAGACCGAACGGAAGACAGAGACCUGACACACAAUUCAAAUAUAAACAUGUUUUAUUCAAGUUUUGAAAGAAAUUUUUGCGGAUAUAGUGAGUUCUGUCACAGCUCUCUAGCUGACCAGUGAGUGGAUGAAGGCAGUUCAUUUAUAAGGAGG